CUCAAAUUCUGAUGGAGAUUGAAGAAGAAAGAUAUCUCUGAAGGUUUGGUCCUUUGUAUUGGGAGUUGUGCCCAAAGUCAAUCGUCAGUUUAUUGACGAUUGUGCUCAUAUUUGUAACUUGUAUAUAAAUAUUUAUUAAUAAAAAUUAUUUAAUUUUUUUAUCACAUUUUGUCUAUCUUCUUUGAACUUCUGUAUUGUGAUAAAGUCCUUAGGAUUAUAUUUAAUCGACAAAAGAGGAUUUGUCGUUUAGUCUUUAAAACAUGUUUGUGACCAAAUGAUAUGCUACUAAUAGGAUGAUAGCGAUAUCGAGUAUAAAUCAUUAUGUGCCAUAUAGGUUGGUUGUCCUCUUAACUAAAAAGUGUGAAGAUAUUAGUUUGGCAUGC
This 383-nucleotide long non-coding RNA is filed under the name Elaeis guineensis (African oil palm). RNAcentral's name for it is "long non-coding RNA (EGUI_LNC066306)". The record is from RNAcentral. Lineage: Eukaryota; Viridiplantae; Streptophyta; Magnoliopsida; Arecales; Arecaceae.